Molecule: ribosomal RNA, 484 nt
Filed under: uncultured bacterium
Lineage: Bacteria
Description: partial 16S ribosomal RNA
Rfam family: Bacterial small subunit ribosomal RNA
Source: RNAcentral
AUUGAACGCUGGCGGCAUGCUUUCACCUGCCAGUUGAACCGCCACCCCGGCUUCCGCCUUGCCGCCAGUUGCCGACCGGUUGGUUAUUCCUUCGAACCUUCCCCGUUAUUGGGGGUUAGCCCGCCAAAGCCCGAUUUAUUCCCCCUUCCGCCUUGGGGUUGAAACCGGGGGCCCGAAAGCCCCCGCCCUUUUGGACCGCCCGAUGUCGGAUUAGCUAGUUGGUGGGGUAAAGGCUUACCAAGGCGACGAUCCGUAGCUGGUCUGAGAGGACGACCAGCCACACUGGGACUGAGACACGGCCCAGACUCCUACGGGAGGCAGCAGUGGGGAAUUUUGGACAAUGGGGGCAACCCUGAUCCAGCCAUGCCGCGUGCGGGAAGAAGGCCUUCGGGUUGUAAACCGCUUUUGUUCGGGAAGAAAUCCUCUGGGCUAAUACCCCGGGGGGAUGACGGUACCGGAAGAAUAAGCACCGGCUAACUACGUG